GUGUUUCUCUGACGUAACAGGUCCCGGCGAAAACACAAAACCCCGGGUAUUUUUCAGCUCGUCGCCGAUUUCUGCGCCGGAUCAGCAGUUUCUCUGCGAGUUCGGAGAAUCUGCCUCUGACCGGUUCAGAUCUUUAUUCAGAAAAUCACCUAAAGGCCUGUUACUGCGGUUAACAUGGAGAAUCGUAAGCGACCCGCAGAGCCAUCCGUGAGCCCGGGCGACAAGUUCCACACGCCGCAGAAGAGAGUGUCGCUGGUUCCCGUCUGGCAGCCGGAUUCUGACUUCAUGCGGUGGGGAAUCGGAGAAACAUGUCAGUACCUGCAAAGGGAAGGACUCGGAAAAUGGGAGGAAAUAUUCAGAGCUGAGAAGAUUACAGGUGUGGGGCUGAGGUACCUGAGGGAUGCAGACCUGGAAAAGAUUGGCAUAAAGUGUCUCGGGGACCGUCUGCAGAUCCUGCACAGCCUCAGAAAACUAUGGCAGAUUGAAGCAGAGGCCAAAAAGGUUUUUAAUGAUCCAAUUCACGGCCAUGUGGAGCUACACCCGCUUCUCAUCAAAAUCAUUGACACUCCUCAGUUUCAGCGACUUCGAAACAUCAAGCAACUUGGAGGCACAUAUUAUGUUUUUCCAGGCGCGUCCCAUAACCGCUUUGAACACAGCAUUGGGGUCGGGUACUUGGCUGGACGACUUGCUCAAGCUCUCAAUGACAGGCAACCAGAGCUCCUCAUCUCUCGCAGGGACAUUCUUUGUGUGGAAAUUGCUGGACUGUGCCAUGACCUGGGACACGGACCUUUCUCCCAUAUGUUUGACGGCAUGUUUAUCCCCAAAGCACGCCCAGGACUUAACUGGAAACACGAGGCCGCCUCUUUGAAAAUGUUUGACUACCUUGUGGAAGACAACGGCUUGAAGCCAGUUAUGGAGGAGCACGGCCUGGUGCUCCCAGAGGACCUGGACUUCAUCAAGGAGCAGAUCGCAGGUCCGAUGGAGAGCAGUUUGGCUCGAGGAGAAAAGUGGCCAUACAAAGGCCGUACUAAAGACAAGUCCUUCCUCUAUGAGAUUGUUGCAAACAAAAGGAACGGCAUUGACGUGGAUAAGUGGGAUUAUUUUGCCAGGGACUGCUACCAUUUGGGCAUCCAGAACAACUUUGACUAUCAGCGCUUUCUAAAAUUUGCAAGGGUCAUUGAAGUGGACGGGAAGAAGCACAUCUGCACAAGAGAUAAGGAGGUAGGCAAUCUGUACGACAUGUUCCACACUAGGAACUGUCUCCACAGGAGAGCUUACCAGCACAAAGUGGGCAACGUCAUUGAAACAAUGAUAACAGAAGCUUUUUUAAAAGCAGACCCACACAUCAAGAUCGCGGGCUCUCAGGGAAAAAUCUUCACUCUGUCCACAGCGAUCGAUGACAUGGUGGCCUACACCAAGUUAACGGAUAAUGUGUUUGAACAGAUCCUGAACUCCUCCUCUCCAGAGCUUGCAGAAGCAAGGCUGAUCCUUCACAAAAUCAUCUGUCGGCACCUCUACAAAUGUCUGGGGCAAACUCGGCCAGAUAAAGCCUUGACUGUCACUCAGGAAAUCAUGCAUGGAUGGGAGGCAGAUUUGGCUAAGGCCAUCCCUCAGAAUGGCUCCCAAGAUGCUGAUCUGAAGCCAGAGGAUUUUGUAGUCAGUGUCGUAGUGAUGGACUAUGGUAUGAAGGAAAAGAACCCCAUCAAUAACGUGCGUUUUUACUGCAAGGAUGACCCAACAAAAGCUAUAAAGAUCUGCAAAAACCAGGUAUCUAAACUUCUCCCAGAGCACUUUGCUGAACAGCUGAUUAGGGUCUACUGCAAGAAAACAGAUGAGAAGACUAUGGAGACUGCCAAGAAGCACUUUGUUCAGUGGUGCAUGGACAUGAACUUCUCGAAGCCUCAGGAUGGAGAUAUUAUAGCGCCUGAGCUGACUCCUCUUAAAGCAAGCUGGCACAACAACAAUGAAGGGAAUAAAAAACAGAUGGGAACAGUUGGAAAUAAACAACCCCAAAGGUGGCACCGAAAAUCUGCAGCCAGAAGACUUUGUCGUUGAUGUAAAAGAAAUAAACUAUGGGAUGAAGGAAAAGGACCCAAUAGAGCAUGUGUGGUUCUACAAAAAGGACAAUCCAACAAAGCCCUUCAAACUGGAUAAAAAUCAAGUUUCUAACCUUCUUCCAGGAACAUUCAGCGAGAAAAUAAUCAGAAUCUACUGCAAGAAGACGACUAAGGAGACUCUGAAAGCUGACCAAAUUCACUUCGAGAAAUAUAAGAAGAUACAUGACGGAAUGAUCAAUGCAUAAGUGCUGCUUUUCUUUGAGCUGUAUUUGACAGCAGCAGAACAGCUAUUUUAAGGCAAUCAUUAUUAAUUUCCUAAUUGUUACUAAUACGUUUUUAUAGAUAUUGAUUUGCUAAUUCAUACCCCUAACAGCUGGGUAAUGUGAAUAAGGCCAGAACAAUGGAUGACAAUCUGCCAUGUUUUAUAGCUUCACAUACAGUUAAAAGUACAGUUACAACAAUAAAAAAAAAAAUUCAUUCUAAAUGGUGAUAAAAACUCAAUAGUUUUGAGUCUAAUGACAUCAACAAGCAAAAAGUAAGCAAAUGAUACCAAUGGCAUGGAAAUUGGUGACAAAAAUAUAUAUAUUUUUCAAAUAUUACAUCAUAAUCAUUCAGAGACAGCAAAUUGGAUUGAUCAAUCAAUAAAUGUAUCACUUAGCCAUAGAAGAGCGUGCCACAAAUGCUUUUCUAUUUCUUGAGUGUUCUCUAGACUCUCAAUACAAGCAAUCCUGUUUUCUGUUGCAUAAUGGGAUGAAGUAAAAAAUGUGACGUGCCCAUAAUUAUAAAAAUUCCACUUAAUAAACUUGGUAUUGGGGACUAUAAUCAAAAGGGGAAAGAUAUGUUUUUGUUGAGCUUUGAUGUUAAGGGACAUUUUCCUCUGAAGUGAAGGUGUUGAUUUGUGGUGUUAUCUAUAU
Cyprinodon tularosa is the source of this 2971-nucleotide RNA transcript. It is a transcript of the gene named SAM domain and HD domain 1, with no coding region annotated. The transcript is spliced from 19 exons. Lineage: Eukaryota; Metazoa; Chordata; Actinopteri; Cyprinodontiformes; Cyprinodontidae. The record is from RefSeq and is a predicted model, not a curated record.